AUAAGGUGGCUGAUAAAAGCAUGGAACUGUAAAUUCUUAUAUAAAUAAAUGUUUUCUUGUCAA
Molecule: transfer RNA, 63 nt
Filed under: Russelliana sp.
Lineage: Eukaryota; Metazoa; Arthropoda; Insecta; Hemiptera; Psyllidae
Description: tRNA-Tyr
Source: RNAcentral